This 489-nucleotide ribosomal RNA is filed under the name uncultured bacterium. RNAcentral describes it as "bacterial SSU rRNA". It matches the Rfam family "Bacterial small subunit ribosomal RNA", at positions 28 to 537 of the family's 1533-position model. The record is from RNAcentral.
GAUGAACGCUAGCGGCGUGCCUAACACAUGCAAGUCGAACGUGAGAAAGACUUCGGUCUUUUGAAAGUGGCGGACGGGUGAGUAAGACGUAGGUGACCUGCCUUGAAGUGGGGGAUAACCAUUGGAAACGAUGGCUAAUACCGCAUAAGCUGGUGACGAUGGGAAUCGUUAUCAGGAAAGCUUUAGUGCUUUGAGAGGGGCCUACGGCCGAUUAGCUAGUUGGUGAGGUAAAGGCUCACCAAGGCGAUGAUCGGUAGCUGGUCUGAGAGGACGAUCAGCCACACGGGAACUGAGACACGGUCCCGACUCCUACGGGGGGCAGCAGUGAGGAAUAUUCGGCAAUGGGGGGAACCCUGACCGAGCAACGCCGCGUGGAGGAUGACGGUUUUCGGAUUGUAAACUCCUUUUCUCAGGGAAGAGCGAGGACGGUACCUGGGGAAGUAAGUCACGGCUAACUACGUGCCAGCAGCCGCGGUAAGGAUGAGACGU